Molecule: unclassified non-coding RNA, 268 nt
Filed under: Hevea brasiliensis (rubber tree)
Lineage: Eukaryota; Viridiplantae; Streptophyta; Magnoliopsida; Malpighiales; Euphorbiaceae
Source: RNAcentral
CUAGAAAUUGCCUAUUGAAGCAUAGACAUUAUAUAUGUAAAGGAUCAGUUUGAAUUACCAAGUAAGCUUAAUAAGCUUCAAUCUAUACCUUGUUAGCAGCCAAAAAGAUUUAUGCUUUCAGUUCUUCAGGUAAGAAAGCUGAUUUAAGAGACUAUUAUAAUUAUAAGCGCCCAUUUAGAAGUUCUAACGUUUUAACCAAGAACAUUAGUCAAAAAAUUCACCACUAAUAGCAUUGAGUGAUAAAAUGUAGAAUAAAUAAAGAACAAAG